CCUACGGGCGGCAGCAGUGAGGAAUAUUGGUCAAUGGCCGGAAGGCUGAACCAGCCAUGCCGCGUGAAGGUCAGUGCCCUAUGGGCGUUAAACUUCUUUUGUGCGGGAGCAAUAAUGGUCACGUGUGGCCAGACGAGAGUACCGUACGAAUAAGCAUCGGCUAACUCCGUGCCAGCAGCCGCGGUAAUACGGGGGAUGCAAGCGUUAUCCGGAUUUAUUGGGUUUAAAGGGUGCGUAGGCUGUGAGGUAAGUCAGCGGUGAAAUGCCCCCGCUCAACGGGGUGAAGUGCCAUUGAUACUGCCUGGCUGGAAUGCGGAUGCGGUAGGAGGAAUGUGUGGUGUAGCGGUGAAAUGCAUAGAUAUCACACAGAACACCGAUUGCGAAGGCAUCUCACGAAGCCGCGAUUGACGCUGAUGCACGAAAGCGUGGGUAUCAAACAGGAUUAGAUACCCGUGUAGUC
RNAcentral lists this ribosomal RNA (460 nucleotides) under uncultured bacterium. RNAcentral describes it as "partial 16S ribosomal RNA". It matches the Rfam family "Bacterial small subunit ribosomal RNA", at positions 338 to 795 of the family's 1533-position model. The record is from RNAcentral.